Long non-coding RNA from Brassica oleracea var. oleracea, 720 nucleotides. RefSeq lists it as uncharacterized. The record is from RefSeq and is a predicted model, not a curated record. Lineage: Eukaryota; Viridiplantae; Streptophyta; Magnoliopsida; Brassicales; Brassicaceae. The transcript is spliced from 3 exons.
CAUGGGACAUGUAGGCGCAUCUAGUUGCUCAGGUCUUUCUUUGGCUCUAUAAGUCAUCCCCGACUCUCAGUCCUAGAUAGCUCCAACACCGGCUCGUAGAGAGCUCCACCACCGGUUCCUCAUCAGGCACCUCUGGUUGCAGGCUUGCAGCACCGGUUGCUCCCCCUGCGGCUCCGGAUGUGCCUCCUGCACAUGCAGCGCCCCUGGCACCUGCGGAUGGACUUCAUCUGGAUUUGAUUGUGCCUACAGAAGCUACAUAUGCCCGAUAUAAUUGAGAAUCUUCUCGUCCAUCCGAGACGAUAAGGUUUAGAUGUAUUGGAUCCCGAUCUACCGAGAGACACUUUCUGGUUUGAAGUCGACGGUUGGGUGGCACAGAGCCGCAUCCCAGUUGAAGUUUGAAACCCGUGCACAUUAGGACCAUGUGAUUCAAUUUUUUUGAGAAAAAAACGGCACGAAAAGGUAAAUGCCAAUGUUCACUGGUAAGGCGAAUACACGCUUAGAAAACAUGGUCUCCGACUGGAAGGAGUUUUGGGAGUUCAAAGGAGAUGAAACGAAACUCACCCUCAUCGCCGUUGGAAACCUGAAGAUGAAACGGAUGUUGGAGCUUAGGCGCUGCAACCUCGGGAUUCCAGAUCCACCACACCGCUCCACGGAGGAACACGUGGAUUUAGAGUGAAGAACCGAAGUCACCAGCUUGGAAUUCUUAGAAGACAUCAACCU